This 253-nucleotide ribosomal RNA is filed under the name Rubellimicrobium sp. RNAcentral describes it as "partial 16S ribosomal RNA". It matches the Rfam family "Bacterial small subunit ribosomal RNA", at positions 524 to 776 of the family's 1533-position model. The record is from RNAcentral. Lineage: Bacteria; Pseudomonadati; Pseudomonadota; Alphaproteobacteria; Rhodobacterales; Roseobacteraceae. RNAcentral also lists the same sequence under 2 other names.
UACGGAGGGGGUUAGCGUUGUUCGGAAUGACUGGGCGUAAAGCGCGCGUAGGCGGAUCAGGAAGUUGGGGGUGAAAUCCCGGGGCUCAACCCCGGAAUGGCCUUCAAAACUCCUGGUCUUGAGUUCGAGAGAGGUGAGUGGAAUUCCGAGUGUAGAGGUGAAAUUCGUAGAUAUUCGGAGGAACACCAGUGGCGAAGGCGGCUCACUGGCUCGACACUGACGCUGAGGUGCGAAAGCGUGGGGAGCAAACAGG